Octopus bimaculoides (California two-spot octopus) is the source of this 482-nucleotide RNA transcript. RefSeq lists it as uncharacterized. The record is from RefSeq and is a predicted model, not a curated record. Lineage: Eukaryota; Metazoa; Mollusca; Cephalopoda; Octopoda; Octopodidae.
UCAUCCUCCUUCUAAUGUGUAAAGCUGCUGGGGCCAUUUAUGCAUGCAGUCUGAUUUCUGAUAUGAAGGGGAAAUUUGUUAGGAUAUUUCAAUUCUUAUUUAUUUUAAUUUUCAGUUGUUGUUGAGUUCCAUUCCUGUUUUCAGGAUGUGUACCGCCUCGGUGACUUUCAGUCAGGUGGAUGGGCAAUUUUGUUUGUCUCCUUCCAUAUGGUUGAUCAGCUCAUUUCCAUUUAUGCUGGAUAUGUUGCUUGUCUAAGUUCAGAGCUUCUCAAAGCAGACGGCACUACAUCCCUGGUAUGGUGGUGCAGGGAGAUGGAAGAUUAUCCGCGGAUACUGAAAACAAAAGAGCAAGCACAAAACGCAGAACAAUGACUACGUCAAAAUAACAAUACACAUGAAAAUGUAAACAAAGCGAAAAUACCGAAAGUAAUACGAUGGCGGACCGGGGCGUGGGUUGGACGUCUUCGAAUAAGCGUGAAGAA